RNAcentral lists this ribosomal RNA (467 nucleotides) under uncultured bacterium. RNAcentral describes it as "partial 16S ribosomal RNA". It matches the Rfam family "Bacterial small subunit ribosomal RNA", at positions 28 to 507 of the family's 1533-position model. The record is from RNAcentral.
GAUGAACGCUGACAGAAUGCUUAACACAUGCAAGUCAACUUGAAUUUGGGUUUUUAACUUAGGUUUGGGUGGCGGACGGGUGAGUAACGCGUAAAGAACUUGCCUCCCAGCUAGGGACAACAUUUGGAAACGAAUGCUAAUACCUAAUAUUAUGAUACUAGGGCAUCCUAUAAUUAUGAAAGCUAUAAGCGCUGUGAGAGAGCUUUGCGUCUCAUUAGCUAGUUGGAGAGGUAACGGCUCACCAAGGCGAUGAUGGGUAGCCGGCCUGAGAGGGUGAUCGGCCACAAGGGGACUGAGACACGGCCCUUACUCCUACGGGAGGCAGCAGUGGGGAAUAUUGGACAAUGGACCGAGAGUCUGAUCCAGCAAUUCUGUGUGCACGAUGAAGUUUUUCGGAAUGUAAAGUGCUUUCAGUUGGGAAGAAACAAAUGACGGUACCAACAGAAGAAGUGACGGCUAAAUACGUG